AGGAAAUUUCACAAAUUAGCAAUGACUUUGCAAUAGUGUAUUUCUUCAAAAACAUCAUUGCACAAAGAAUGUAUGUGCAUGGAAGGAGAGAAUUCAGUAAAAUAAUGCCAGCACUCUUUGAAGUGUAGAACUUUGUUCCGUGAAGAAUACACAGCGUGAAAAGGUACAGACUAAUCAAGUUGGAACCCAAGUCCACCUCUUCUAUAACGACAUUCAUAAAUCUUAUUUGAACCCAGAUGAUAUACAAAAUCUUGACCAAGGCUCAAGCUAACCUU
Long non-coding RNA from Populus euphratica (Euphrates poplar), 275 nucleotides. RefSeq lists it as uncharacterized. Lineage: Eukaryota; Viridiplantae; Streptophyta; Magnoliopsida; Malpighiales; Salicaceae. The transcript has 4 exons. The record is from RefSeq and is a predicted model, not a curated record.